GUUGAUUUUGGGGGCAAUUUUGGCCCGGGAACUCAGGGUUGGCGUGCUGUUUCUAUGGGAAUAUAGGGUUGUGGGACAUAAUAUACACACACACACACACACACACACACACACACACACAGUAUUUCAGUAUAGACGAGUGUAGUGUAUCAGGGAGGAGUUUAUAUUCAAUAAGUGAUAGUUUGUGUGUUUAUUAAAUGAAACAAUAAUCUACAGGUGAGUAAAUAAUCAACUGCAGUGUUAAUAUCACCUGUGUAAGAUCUGGAGAAAUAAGAUUCACUACUCACCGGAAAUAAUAAUAAUGAUAAUAAUAAUAAUAACAGAUCUCCAGCAGUGGUCACACACAGCAGCUCCGUUAGUUCCGCUAGCUCGAAACUUAGAGAACACAAACACCGGCUCUAAUCUCUAAUAACUAUACAAUAACUGUGAUGUCGAUAAUAAAAUACUUUGUUAAGAAAAACAAAAUACAUCAACUUUCCAAUCGCAGAGUUAAAAUCACUAAAAAUGAAAUAAAAAACAGAUUUAGACGUCGUUAUCGAGGAAGAGGGACAACAGCAGCACUAGCCUGUUAUCGCGAGACUCCAACAUGUCCGUGUCCCGUCACUCCCCUUUACGCAGUACGAUGGGCGUUCCUUGCGUCAUGACGUCGCGGAUCUUCACUCUUAAAACUAAUCCUGACAUCUUUAAUCAGCACAGCAAAGUGUGUUUAAGUGGAAUAUUGUACUGAUUUAAUAACUCUGGAUAUAAAUGUGUUUUAUUAAAUAGCUGAGAAUCUAAUAGUGUUGUUAUUUGGAAUCUAGAUUUAUUUCUAGGUGAUUUUAGGGAAUCAGAUUAAAAUGGUGUUUAUAGAUCAGGACACAAAGUAAACAGGAGAGUUUUAUGGUGGAAUUACAGAAGAAAAAGACUGAAUCAUAUGAAUCCAUAUUAAUCAGGACUAGAGAACUUCCUGGUCAGGGUUGUGGUGGAUCCGGAGUCUAUCCCACUAACACUGGCUCAGGCCAUCUUCUCUCCAUCACUCCUAUAUCUACUCGAUCUACCAGUCUGCAGUGGUAUGGACCAGUUUAAUCAGCUGUACAUGAUGUUCCACUGACACCAUAUCCCCUGAUAUUUAUUACACAUGAUAUUCUAGAAGCACAUCUGCAUCACAACAUUUAGUGUAGGAGCUCCACAAAACCCAUCAGAGUACGCUAGUACAGGUCCUCUCUCAAAACUCCACCAAAAGAAUAGUGUUCUCUCCCCAGGAACCACAGAGGAACCUCAGAGGAGCACAUGGACAUGUGACUGUGGAAUGAUCUGUGCAGCUGUUUUCUGAUCUCUCUAAUCUGAACCGAAUCAGUUCAUCUGCUGGUUACGAAGAUCAUUUCAUAUAAAUCCUACAAAUUAUGGAAGUAUAACAGUGCCACAUGUCCUCAAGGCAAAACGGCAUGUUGAAUUACAUAAACUGAAUAAAAACAUAUCGUAAUAAUACUUGAAUUAGUUUCCUCUGCAGCUCAUUAGGUUUGUUUAUUUUGAUUGAAAAUAAAAUUCCAGCAUUCGUAAUUCAACACACACACACACACACACACACACACACACACACACACACACACACACACACUCACCUUCCUAAAAUACAGUUCCAAAAUAUUCAGCUGUUAAAAUCCCAUCUUCAUUAUUCAUCAGGUAAUAUUUCAACGUUAUUUCUCAACCUCACAAGUUCAGGCUGCAGGUGUACAGUGGAAAUGGAGAACAUUUUGAGAUCAUUAAUGUGAAAUAAAGUGGAUCAGCGUGUGCUUCACUCAGCUAGAACAUUAUACUAGAUAUAUUUAACAUCAGGGAGAUAUUUGUGUCCCACAGUAACCCGUUCCAAACGUUAUAAUCUCAGCAGACACAGAAAUACUGAACAUGCAGGUGCACGUGAAGGGGAUCAGAAUGGGGCAGGAAGUCAGAUUGUGGCAGGAAGUCAGAAUGGGGAAGGAAGUCAGAAUGGGGCAGGAAGUCAGAAUGAACGUUGACAGACAGUGGUCACCUUGAAGGCUGUAGAUGUUUGCAUCUGCGUGCGAUUAAAAGAAGCAAUGUAGUUUCAUGUAGGUUGGUUAUGCUAGAUGGGAAAGUAAAUGUGUGUGUGUUCAAAUUAAUUACAUCACACAUUACAAAUAAUACAAAGAAAUGAUCUCAUAAUAAACAUUAAAACUAUGUUGAUAUUUAACAAAGAAAAGCAUGUGUAGUUGUUGAGUAAUGAAAAUAAUCACUCCUUAUAACCACGAUGAUCAGAAAACGUACCUCACGUCAAACCCUGAGGCACAGCAGCAGAAGAGCACGUUGGUGUGAACCAAUCAGGAUUGUUCCUCUGAGCUCUCUGAUCAACAAGGCGUCUCAUCCCUCAGAACUGUCCCUCACUGUGUGUAAACACUACAGAGUGAUGUUUCUGAAAUCCUCAAACCCGGUACCUACAACCACGCCAGGGUUAAAGUCACACAGAUCACACCGUUUCUUCAUUCUGAGGUUUGAUGUGAACAUGAACUGAAGCUCUUGACCUGGAUCUGCAGGAUUUUAUACACUGUGCUGAUUAAAUCACUGCAGAAAUGUGCAGGUGUUCAGGGGUUUUAAUACAAACACUGUGAGUGUUUAACAGAAUAUAAUAUAAUAACACAAUAAAGGAAUGCGGCUUUCAGCACAAUAUGGCCUUCAUCUGGCUGUAACUAAAUCAACCGCUGUUUCAUAACUUAAAUAAGAAUAUAGAAAUAUUUGUUCUAGUGUUAUAAGAAAUGAUUUCAUCUUUACAUCAGAACAGAACUGAUUUUAACCCACAGACACAUGAUGAGGUCGAAUCCCUGAUUUCUGUGUUUAUAACCAGGAAGUAAAUGAAGAUCAGGUGACCAGUGCAGCAGGUUCACCGAGUUAGAACACCACCACCGUGUCGCGAGGGCUACUGGAGGUAGAUUACUGUUCCAACAGAAGAAUGUUCAUUCCCAUGAGUAUUUAAAGUGAGGGCCAGAUACAGAAGAGAUGGAUUACUGCAGUCUGUAGCCAGCGUUACACACAGGAGCGAUAUGUGAACGAGAAUUACAUAUACAGUGAGAGUGAUGGUAUAUACAGAUUUAGUAUUUAAUAUAAAUAUGAACAAUAACAAGGGUAAAAACGACUGAACCUGACUGCCUCCAGGUUGAUGAUUCGUCAGCACCGAGCUGAUUAAUGACUGUAUCGCCAUAAAAGAGCCAUCUGUAUAGUCAGUGAUAAAGAUGUAACAGGUGAACAUGUCUGCAUGUCCAUUCAUCCAAACAAAUACUUCAUUUAAUAUACUCGUAUAAGUCAUGUAAGGAAUGCUGGCGGUGCCGUGAUCAGCCAUGUUGAUGUGACAUCACGGGUUGAGAAGACACCAUCCCGAAUAAACCUGCGCUGCGUCCAUGACAACUCGACUCUACAGGACAAUGUACAUGUGCAAUAAAGUGCAGAGCAGGUCCGAAUGAAACAUUCCUCUUUCUCUUAUUCAUUCACACUGCAGUAAUUAUUGUGUGUUAAGAGUGUAAAGUGUCGUUUCUUCAGCACUGAAAAUGGCCACAGGAUGGACUUCAAUCAGCCGUGUGUUGUUUGUAAACAGGGAAUGUAGCAUGGAGGAAUUUAGGAGUUUAAGUGACACACUCCUUACACGCCCGGAAGAAACGUUUCUCAUCUCAGUGACGUUAUUUUAGAAUAAACUGUUUUAUGCUCUGGUACACAAACUGCCUUGUUAGGCUAAUAUAAUACUACAGUGGAUAUAAAAAAGUCUACACACCCCUGUUUAAAGUAGAUUGUGGUGCAGAACAUUGAGGUGUCUGCUAGUAAACUGUAGAUGAAAAGGAAUGUCACCUUUCAGCAUGAUAAUGACCCAAAGCACACGUCCAAAUCAACAAAGGCACACGUAACCAAAAGAAGCUCAGUGUUUUUGAAUGAGCUAGCUCGAGCCCAGACCUGAAUCCAGCUAAAAAUCUGUGGGGUGACCUGAAGAGGAUUAGUUCCGGGGUGUGCACACUUAUGCAACCUGGUUAUUGUACGUUUUUCACUUAAUUUUUAAACGCUGUAAUUUCACCACGAGGGGAAAAGUUCUGACGAUUUGUCUUAGUGUCAUUCUUUCACGUCACAAAAACCUGCACUUUCAACAGGGGUGUGUAGACUUUUUAUAUCCAAUGUAGCUGGCUGGAAUUAGCUUAGCUGAUGACACCUGAGCAAAACUACUGAAAUUAAGUGCAUUCAGCAUAAUAAAAGUUCUUAUUAGAUAAAUACAUACACUUCUUCAUGAAGAAUUAGGUGACUAAAAUAAUCAAAUAAAAUAAAAAAUACAUAUAUAAAUGAAUUAGUUUUUAUUCUAAAGUAAAAUUCACAGUAAGCCUUCUGACUGAAUUAUAACUAAAAGAGCUAUUUUUCCUCCAGAAGAAAAGAUACUACAGAAUGUAAAAUCUCACUCUGCUCCAGCUGUGUGCUGCUGCCUGAAGUUGUUUAACUCCGCCCUCUUCUGACUACACCACUGUUCAAUCUCAGUCAGAUUGAUCUCGGUCUCUGAGAUGAUGUCGGAGCUCGUACCCUGCAGGUGUCCUGCUCCAUCACCACUGAGCUGCUGUAAACUCUUCAUCACCUCCUCCAUCUUCUCCAUCAUCUGCUCAAUACACACCACCCCUCCUCUCUCAGUCAUCAGAAGUCCUUCACCUUCUUCACCACUGCACUCCAUGAGCUCUGCUCUCUUCGCCUUGCAAAACAAUUUGAUCUGUUCUGAAUAUUUAGGGUUCUCUCUGUACCGUCGUUCCAGUUCCUUCAUCGCCUCCUCUGCCUUCUGCAAAGCCUCUGUGGCACCGACAUGCCUUUUAUUGCCCUGCUCUUUCCCAGGUCGGGCCUGCUGUAUAAGCUUGUUCACAUGCUCCAGCUGCUUGCUCACCUAUUAAACAUACAUUAAAACACACACACACACACACACACACACACACCCCUUCUCAUCUUCGAGAAUCUCUGGGAUUUUUAUCCAAACCCUCCAUGUUAUAAACUGAACAGUAGUAAUUAAAUAACUCCAAGUUACGUAUACAGUGGUGUAAUGUUUUGGAAUGGCCAAGUCAGAGUCCUGACCUGAAACAAGCAGUUCAUGUGAGGAAACCCACCAACAUCCCAGAGUUGAAGCUGUUCUGUACUGAGGAAUGGGAUAAAAACCCCAGAGUCGAUGUGCAGGACUGAUCAACAGUUACCCCAAACGUUUAUCUGCAGUUAUUACUGCACAAGGGUCUCACACCACAUACUCACAGCAAAGGUGCACAUACUUUUACCCUUCACAAAUAUGCAAUAUUGGAUCAUUUUCCUCAAUAAAUAAAUUUCCAAGUAUAAUAUUAUUGUCUUGUUUGUUUAACUGUGUUCUCUUUAUCUACUUUUAGGACUUGUGUGAAAAUCUGAUGAUGUUUUAGAUCAUAUUUAUGCAGAAAUGUAGAAAAUUCUAAAGGGUUCACAAACUUUCAAGCACCACUGUAUAUAUACACUGUCUGAAUUGACAUGUUGAUAAAGAUUGCAUUAUAUGUUGGUACUAUAAAAGAGCUUUUGUGUUUUUUCCUCAUUAUAAAGACACUUUAGUAAGCGCUCACUCUUGUCUAUUGUCUCACACUGAAGAUAAAAGUAAGAAAUCCAUCCAUCCAUUAUCUAUAGCGAUUAUCCUACAGGGUCACAGGGAACCUGGAUCCUGUCCCAGGGAGCAUGGGGCCCAAGGCAGGGGAAACCCUGGACAGGGUGGCAUCCAUCGCAGGGCACAAUCACAUACACACUCGCACACUACGGACACUUUCAGACAUGCCAAUCAGCCUACCAUGCAUGUCUUUGGUCUGGGGAAGGAAACCGGAGUACCCGGAGGAAACCACCACAACACGGGGAGAACAUGCAAACUCCACACACACAGGGUUUCAGGGGAAACCCCCGACCCUGGAGGUGUGAGGCGACCGUGCUAACCACUAAUCCACCGCACACACAAAAGUUUAAAAUGCAGAACAAUAAAAUAUAGAUGAUGUUUAAGAAGACGUGUCAGACGUCCUGAACUAGUGGUGCAGUGGGAAAAAUAAAUAAAUAAAUACAAAACAAAACACUUUAUUUUAUAUACACACACACACCAACACACACACACAUUCAGCUGCUUGAUGCAGUCCUACUUACCUUGAUGAACUCCUGAUGGACUACAUUCUUCUGGUAUUUUAUACAUAGAAAGAGAAGAGUCACCAGCAGAAUCACCACCACCGUCACUAUGAGUCCAAUUAUCCACCGAGGAAACUUCUCAUCUACAAAGACACACACACACACACACAUUACACCUAUCCGUGACAUUUCCCCUGCAGACCGCCAGGUUGCACCCUCCCUGAGACACACUGAGACACACUGAGACGUACCUGUCACAGCGACGGAGUACACACGGAUGUCUUCUUUAUUCUCCGUGUCCCGGAUGGUGUAACGUCCACUAUCACUGUACGUCACGUCUCUCAGUGUGAGCUCUGGGUAACUGAGUGAUGUUCUGUGUGUGUAUUCAGCUUUACACUGUAGUGAGUGUUGAGUCCCGUUACAGAUCCGUUCACCAUCAGCUGAAUCACUGCUUGUAUAAAUCACCUCCACUGGCUCUGGUACGGUCAGAUCCAGGAUCAGAUCUUCACCAGGGUUCUUCUGAACUGCUGAGAACACGGCUGAGGAGAAAACACAUUCAGCUGUAUUUAGAUUGAAAAAGAAAUCAUUCAAGCUGCAUUCAGAGUCCAGAAAUUGCGUGGGGAAAGUUCACACUUCUGAGGUUGCCAGAUUUUUCUUUAGUAGAAGUUUCAGAGACAGGGUUUUAUAAAAGUGUGAAGACCAUCACCUUUAAAUACAACCAUCUUCAUACCUGAAAAAAAUCAGGGAUAGAAAAUGUGGACUGAAGAAGGAAAUUAUAUUUUUCUUUGCUGUAAAAUGUAAAUUGCCGUAUGUCCAAGAAGCAUCUCCUCCGAUGUCCACUGUGUGAAAAACCCUUUUGUGCAAAGUGAAAAUAUGAUAAGUUCAUUAAUACUGAUGUGUGUGAUUUCAGUACUAAACCCUGACUGUGUGAUUAACUCCACUCUGAAAAUGAUCCUAAUCAUUCAGACUGAAUGUUUUAUCCGCAGUAGAAGAGAUAAAGACACUCACUCUCAAUGCUGAGGCGCACAGUAGAGAUUUCUGAGACGCCACACUCACACGAGUACGUGUUCCUCAUUCUGUAAUCAGCUGCAGUGAUGAUGAGAGAGAGAUCUCCAUCCUGGUACUGAUCAUAAGACAUAUUAUAUCCCUUCACCAGUGAGCUGCAUGACGUAUCAUUACACCGAGCGAAGACAACAUCUCGAUUAUUAAAUAAAGACCAUUUGACUGAACCAGAACAUUUAUAUUCACAUGAGAGAGUCACAGGCUGAUGAAGCUUCACUGUUUUAGAACAGACCGCAGAUAAUACCGGAGCUGAAACAGAGAAGAAGCUGACAGUGAGAGUGUGCAGUGACAGUGAGAGUGUGCGGUGAGAGUGUGCAGUGAGAGUGUGCAUUUGCAGUUAUAGUGAGUGUACAGUGAAAGUGAGAGGUUGCAGUGAGUGUACAGUGAGAGUGUAGAGCGAGAGUGUAGAGCGAGAGUGUACAGUGAGAGUGUGCAGUGUGAGUGAGAGUACAGUGGGAGUGUACAGUGGGAGUGAGAGUACAGUGAGAGUGUAGAGUGAGAGUGUGCAAUGAGUGUACCGUGAGAGUGAUAGUGUAGUGAGAGUGUACAGUGAGAGUGAACAGUGAGAGUGAACAGUGAGAGUGAGAGUGUACAGUGAGAGUGUAGAGUGUAGAGUGAGAGUGUGCAGUGAGAGUGUAGAGUGAGAGUGUAGAGUGAGAGUGUGCAGUGAGAGUUGAGAGUGAGAGUGUACAGUGAGAGUGUAGAGAGUGUGCAGUGGUAGUAAAUGUGGUGAGAGAGUGAACGACACUUACCAGUGGUGAAUGUGAGGGUGAGUAAGAGCAGGACACAGUGGUGAACGCUGCAGGACUGCAUGGCUGAGGAGACACAACACCACCAUCAGUACUGCACAGGUGGAGAAUAAAGCAGGAGAGAGAAACACACUCACAGCUACAU
This is a long non-coding RNA of Ictalurus punctatus (channel catfish), 8070 nucleotides long. Lineage: Eukaryota; Metazoa; Chordata; Actinopteri; Siluriformes; Ictaluridae. The record is from Ensembl.